Molecule: ribosomal RNA, 1360 nt
Filed under: uncultured bacterium
Lineage: Bacteria
Description: bacterial SSU rRNA
Rfam family: Bacterial small subunit ribosomal RNA
Source: RNAcentral
GAUGAACGCUAGCUACAGGCUUAACACAUGCAAGUCGAGGGGCAGCAUUUCAGUUUGCUUGCAAACUGGAGAUGGCGACCGGCGCACGGGUGAGUAACACGUAUCCAACCUGCCGAUAACUCGGGGAUAGCCUUUCGAAAGAAAGAUUAAUACCCGAUGGCAUAAUUAGACCGCAUGGUCUUAUUAUUAAAGAAUUUCGGUUAUCGAUGGGGAUGCGUUCCAUUAGGCAGUUGGUGAGGUAACGGCUCACCAAACCUUCGAUGGAUAGGGGUUCUGAGAGGAAGGUCCCCCACAUUGGAACUGAGACACGGUCCAAACUCCUACGGGAGGCAGCAGUGAGGAAUAUUGGUCAAUGGGCGCAGGCCUGAACCAGCCAAGUAGCGUGAAGGAUGACUGCCCUAUGGGUUGUAAACUUCUUUUAUAUGGGAAUAAAGUUUUCCACGUGUGGAAUUUUGUAUGUACCAUAUGAAUAAGGAUCGGCUAACUCCGUGCCAGCAGCCGCGGUAAUACGGAGGAUCCGAGCGUUAUCCGGAUUUAUUGGGUUUAAAGGGAGCGUAGGUGGACAGUUAAGUCAGUUGUGAAAGUUUGCGGCUCAACCGUAAAAUUGCAGUUGAUACUGGCUGUCUUGAGUACAGUAGAGGUGGGCGGAAUUCGUGGUGUAGCGGUGAAAUGCUUUAGAUAUCACGAAGAACUCCGAUUGCGAAGGCAGCUCACUGGACUGCAACUGACACUGAUGCUGGAAAGUGUGGGUAUCAAACAGGGUUAGAUACCCUGGUAGUCCACACAGUAAACGAUGAAUACUCGCUGUUUGCGAUAUACAGUAAGCGGCCAAGCGAAAGCAUUAAGUAUUCCACCUGGGGAGUACGCCGGCAACGGUGAAACUCAAAGGAAUUGACGGGGGCCCGCACAAGCGGAGGAACAUGUGGUUUAAUUCGAUGAUACGCGAGGAACCUUACCCGGGCUUAAAUUGCAUUUGAAUAUAUUGGAAACAGUAUAGCCGUAAGGCAAAUGUGAAGGUGCUGCAUGGUUGUCGUCAGCUCGUGCCGUGAGGUGUCGGCUUAAGUGCCAUAACGAGCGCAACCCUUAUCUUUAGUUACUAACAGGUCAUGCUGAGGACUCUAGAGAGACUGCCGUCGUAAGAUGUGAGGAAGGUGGGGAUGACGUCAAAUCAGCACGGCCCUUACGUCCGGGGCUACACACGUGUUACAAUGGGGGGUACAGAAGGCAGCUACCUGGUGACAGGAUGCUAAUCCCAAAAGCCUCUCUCAGUUCGGAUCGAAGUCUGCAACCCGACUUCGUGAAGCUGGAUUCGCUAGUAAUCGCGCAUCAGCCAUGGCGCGGUGAAUACGUUCCCGGGCCU